Molecule: ribosomal RNA, 273 nt
Filed under: uncultured bacterium
Lineage: Bacteria
Description: partial 16S ribosomal RNA
Rfam family: Bacterial small subunit ribosomal RNA
Source: RNAcentral
GAUCCUGGCUCAGGAUGAACGCUAGCUACAGGCUUAACACAUGCAAGUCGAGGGGCAUCAGUUUGGUUUGCUUGCAAACCAAAGCUGGCGACCGGCGCACGGGUGAGUAACACGUAUCCAACCUACCUCAUACUCGGGGAUAGCCUUUCGAAGAAAGAUUAAUAUCCGAUAGCAUAUAUUUCCCGCAGUUGGGUUUUAUUAAUUAAAAGUAAAGUUACGGUUAGUGAGAGUGGGGAGUGUCGUUCCUAUUAGUUUGGGUUGGGGGGUACCGGG